Podarcis lilfordi (Lilford's wall lizard) is the source of this 4518-nucleotide non-coding RNA. NCBI's taxonomy places the organism in Eukaryota, Metazoa, Chordata, Lepidosauria, Squamata, Lacertidae. The record is from the annotation of a GenBank genome assembly.
GGUUUAUUGUAGCUGUGAGACACAGAAUAACAACAGGAAAACCCCCACAAACCCUGAAGACAAAAGUCAGAGAUUGAUGUGCCACUCCUGGUUAGCUUUCUUCAGUCCAGCCUAAUUUAGGUGGAAAAUGUUUGGUUGUUGUGAGUCAAUGACCCGCAACCCGCGUAGGGUAACUAAAACACAAGGACACAUGUAUUUUAGGUUAAUGGGCUAAAGAAGGCAAAUACUUUAUUGGGUACAUACAGCAUGAGAGUGGUAUUGGCUUAGGCAUUGGAUCAAACAACAUACCGUAUUUUUCGCUCUAUAGGAUGCACCAGACCAUAGGAGGGGGAGAACAGGGAAAAAAUUUUUUUUUCUUGUUCUCCCCCUCUAAAACAAGGUGCGUUCACCCAAAGCCUCGGGAGUGCAGCGGGAGUUCCUGCUGCGCUCUGGAGGCUUCAGGUGGCUACCUUGGAAGCCUGGAGAGCAAGACUCUCCUGGUUUCAGCAAAAGGAACCCGAAGCCUUUGGAGCACAGCGCGAGGUCCUGCUGUGCUCCAAAGGCUUCAGGGAUCUAUGAGGCUGGGGGGGGGGGGAAGCAGCACUUCCCCCCAGCACCAGCCUCACAAGCUGCUGAUGUGGGAACAGCUCCCGCUCACAACACCUCCCCUCUGGGAGGGGAGGCUUUGUGAGUCGAGGACCUACAACGGGUAAAUAAGACACAAGGACACAUGUAUUUUAGGUUAAUGGGCUAAAGGAGGCCACAACUUUAUUGGUUACAGCAUGUGAGUGGUAUUGGCUUAGGCAUUGGAUCAAACAACCUAUAUAUGACCCCACAGGACACAUAUUCCAAUGCCUAACCACCACCUGAGCCAAAGAGGCUCGCCGCCAAAUACCCUCACAGCUGCAACCAAUCCCUAAUGCUACUGAUAUUGGCCAACCACACAUCAUUUCCUUGAUCAGACAAAUGAACGCCAUCGUCUCUAAACAGGGCCACCUCGCUGAAUCUGAUGUCAACAUGCUUGAUCCCAUGGCUGUUAAUAAAACACAAUUUGCGGGCCACCACACGAUUCAAGAGUUUCCCGGAUUUGUCGAUGGCAACGACUGCCACACCAAACUCUCCUCUUCAGAAGGGAGGACCAAAACAAGGUAGACUCCGGAAACAGAGCAGCAAGUUCGUCUAAGUCCUUUUUUACGUUCAAUAACAAGUCCAAGCUCUUCCUGAAGGCCAAGUCUUUCUCCCCAGCUGAAUGAUCAGGAUGUCAGGUGGGCCAAACGCUGCUGCUUUUGCCUUUGUAACUGGCAUCAACUCCUCCCAUUGCAUGCCACGUCUUGAAAUCCAGGAAACUCUCACACUUGCAGGCAGUCCCAGGUUGUCGCCCAAGCUGCAAUCUCUGGCCCAGUGGACGAUACUGUGACCGCAGAUCCAAACUUGAAUGUUAGAAGAAGCUGAGGGUAAGAAAACAAGGACAGGUAAGUGGUUGCGUUCUAAAAAUUCUUUCAUAUGUACCAUUUCAAUGCAUUCCUGAUUCUAUCUGUUGAGUGGCCUAAAGGGGCAGCCAUUGUGGCGGCCCCAAUCCUGAAAGAGUCGGCAGCAUAUUCCUCUGCAGGGAAACCACAGGCAUCAAUCGCUUUGCGCAAUACUUGCAUGAACUGAUGCCUCUUCAAACAGGAACCAUUCUCGUGUAUGAGUAAAGGGCCACAGCCAGGGGGUCUAAGAUAUAAGUACCUCCUAGUGUCUUUUACUGGGCAUGGACCCUGGUUUUCAGAAGCAGAAAGUCUGAUUGGGACACCCUUUCCCUGUUGGUCAGUUUUUGACCGCUGAAUGUAUAUUAUUAACUCGGAGUUGGAUAAUUGUAUGUCAUUUAAGUGGAGGCCGCGAGAGGAGCCAUCGGGUUGGGCCUCAAACAGAACCUCAUCAACACUCAGGGCUCCGAAGGCGGCAAUGGAGAAUGCCGCGGAAAACAAACGUGCUUCAUAUUUUGACCAACAUAUUGACCUUAGUUUCUGGCGUAUCAGGCAGAGGAGAUCAAAUGUUACCAGCUUUCUGCUCUCGCCAUUUGCAAGUUGGAGUCUGCCCCAGCCCUUAAUUGCUCUACGAACGAUAAAAUCAGCGCAAGGGUCAGCUGAGAAUAUAACUUUGCUAAAAAAGCUGAUGGCAGCCGAAUGGAUUCUUAAGGUUUCUGCUGCACAUCCCAAAUUAUGCAGGUGCGCUAGGUAGUGUAACACGUGAUCAGUAGUGGGCAGGAUAUUGGGGGCAAGAGCUGAAACCUUGGAUCUGAAAUCCAGGAAAUCGCACCAGGCUUUCUUAUACGACCUGAGAGUAGAAGGUUCCAGUGAGGCUAAUACUCCCUUGAUAACUUCACAUUUCCAAUGCUCCAGAGGUGGUCUGAGAAAGGUUCCGGCAGCUGCUGGGCCGAAGAUGCUAAGUGGAAGCAGUUCAUCUGACUCCUCAUCCGUAUCCCGCGAUCUAGACUUCUCGUAAACGUGUUUCUUCUUGGAGCGUCUCUUCCCUGCCGGCUUAUCUGUUGUGGUGGGUUGUUGCUCGGCUGAUGCCUGAAGCUGCACCUCCUCACCAUCAGAGAUCUCGGACUCAGGAAGUUGAACCCCUGGCUGAGAGCUCUGAAGAAGACUAGAAGAAGACUGAGACAUAGACAUGUUAUCGGGUGGAACAGAAGCCAAUCGACCUGUAGCAUGUGUUGCUGCUGACAAGGCGCGGGACAUUCGGGACCUAGCACGAGUCUGUGGAGGUUGAUUAGCUGACAACAUGGCCCGCGUACCUGCGCUUGCGAAUUGGGAUUCGUUAAAUAAUGACGCAGAUGUGCCAGGCAGCUCACCAUCGAGGGAUGGGGCAUCAGGCGCCGUGUCAGGAAUAAAACUAGGAGAAGGGGAGGACGUUGGCAAACGGUUAGCAAUACGUUGUUCAAAAUCAUUCAUAAAACACUUGAAAGCAUUAAAUAAUUGAGACAUGGUUUUAGGAUCAGAAUCUUCCUUACGCGACUCCCGAUUGCUUGAGGUAGGACGUUUUGCCUUAGAAGCGGGAUUUUCGGCAGGAACUUUCCUCUUUGGCGCCAUUGGGAAACAAUUACACAGUGCUAAACAACACUAUACACAGCAAAACGCAGUAGUGUGAAUUAUACUUCUUGUCUCUUUUUUUAUUGAUUGAUUGGAUUUUGUUAUUUAUUUUUAUUUUUUAAUUAAUUUUAAUUUUUUUAUUAUAUAUCUUUUAUUUAUUAUCACUUAAGGCUAGCCCUAUAAGACAGCUUUAAGGAAAAGGCAACAAAACUAUGCCAGCAACAACUUAGAUAAAUUAGCUGCGAAAGCAAAACCAAAUUACUGAGACAAAAUAAAACCCUGUAAAACUGGCAAAUGUGCUACAGCACACAACAGCCAGCUAUCAGCAAGCCUUAAUUAACCUAGUCCCAAUCCCAAUUUAAAUACGAUUAAUGCAAUAUAAUUCUAGAACCCCUAGUUAAUUUAAACUCAAAACCAAGGGAAAUAAAUUUGCAGCUGUUACUUAGCUCGGUGUUGUUUCAAGUAAAAUUGCAGCUGUUACUAGAGCUCCAAGCCGCUAGAAAAUAAACUGUCGCCAAAAGAUUUGUACGUAAACCUUAAAAUUAAAAUGAACCAAGAUAAACUGUAGCCAAAUCAAUUCAGAAUAAAGUGAUCCAAAGGGAAGCAAGACGUAAGCCCCCCACCCAAGUUCAAGGCUCCGGUCCUAUGACCGGCAGUGAAGCGAUUAGGACUACUGGCAAGGCAACUGGAGGGCAAUUAAGCAGUUUUGGAUAACAAAGGACAAAAUGCAGGAGCAAGUCAAACAAAAGCAGCCCCGGUGAGAUGUAGGGCAAAGGGCGCUGGAGGGAAAAGCACACCCGUUCAGGCAAUGUUCCUUGUUAAUAUUUGGAGGAAGAAGCCCCUUUGCUGAGGAAGAAAGGCCCUAGCAAAUAAGAAACCCCACCAGUAAGGUUGAAAAAAGGUUGGGGGGGUGCUGAGAAAGAAAAGGGAUGGGGGUGGGGGUUCGAAGCCCACCUGGCUGAAUGGAGCCAGCCAAUAUAAAACCCCAGAGGAACCUGGAGAGCCCGGCGAACUAAAAAGGAAAACAGGCAGGCUCUCUCUUCUGAAGGGCAGGGGGGAGCCCCGGCAGGGGAAAUCCCAACAAAUGACGCAAGGGCUGGGUGGGUGUCCCUGUGGGGUAGGUGUGUAGGUACGUUGAUAUGUAUAGUAUAGGUAGGUAUUAUAUAGAGUAAUGUAGGUAUCUUUUAUGUUAUGAAAAUAAGGUGUGUUGUGUAUGUGUAUUGUGUAAAUGUAUUAUAUGUUAGGAAAAUAAAAAAUGGGGGGAAAGGACACAACGGCUGGACUGGGAGAAGCUAAAAACAAAGCACAAAGGGGGCGCCCCGGCAGGGGAAAGCCAAACAAAUCAGUUUUUUUUUCCGCCCUCCACCCAAAGCAGCCUCCAAACGUCGAGGAGAAAAGAGAAGAGAGUUGCUGGUCAGAGGAGGAAUGUAAGAAGGAAGGGAGGAGAGAGCAGCUGGCGAGGACG